GACGAACGCUGGCGGCGUGCUUAACACAUGCCAGUCGAACGGAAAAGCCCUGCUUUUGUGGGGUGCUCGAGUGGCGAACGGGUGAGUAACACGUGAGUAACCUGCCCUUGACUUUGGGAUAACUUCAGGAAACUGGGGCUAAUACCGGAUAGGAGCUCCUGCUGCAUGGUGGGGGUUGGAAAGUUUCGGCGGUUGGGGAUGGGCUCGCGGCUUAUCAGCUUGUUGGUGGGGUAGUGGCUUACCAAGGCUUUGACGGGUAGCCGGCCUGAGAGGGUGACCGGCCACAUUGGGACUGAGAUACGGCCCAGACUCCUACGGGAGGCAGCAGUGGGGAAUAUUGCACAAUGGGCGGAAGCCUGAUGCAGCAACGCCGCGUGCGGGAUGACGGCCUUCGGGUUGUAAACCGCUUUCGCCUGUGACGAAGCGUGAGUGACGGUAAUGGGUAAAGAAGCACCGGCUAACUACGUG
RNAcentral lists this ribosomal RNA (468 nucleotides) under uncultured bacterium. RNAcentral's name for it is "partial 16S ribosomal RNA". It matches the Rfam family "Bacterial small subunit ribosomal RNA", at positions 28 to 507 of the family's 1533-position model. The record is from RNAcentral.